UGGGGAAUUUUGCGCAAUGGGCGAAAGCCUGACGCAGCGACGCCGCGUAAGGGAUGAAGGUCCUCGUGAUCGUAAACCUUUGUCAGGAAGGAUUAAAUAUAUGAAUGCUAAUACCAUUUAUAUUUGACUUAACUUCCAGAGGAAGCCCCGGCUAACUACGUGCCAGCAGCCGCGGUAAGACGUAGGGGGCGAGCGUUACUCGGAUUCACUGGGCGUAAAGCGAAUGUAGGCGGCUUUGUAAGUCAGGGGUGAAAUCCCUCAGCUUAACUGAGGAAGUGCCUUUGAUACUGCAUGGCUGGAGGACAGGAGAGGAAAGUGGAAUUCCCGGUGUAGCGGUGGAAUGCGUAGAUAUCGGGAGGAACACCUGAGGCGAAGGCGGCUUUCUGGACUGUUCCUGACGCUGAGAUUCGAAAGCUAGGGGAGCAAACAGG
This 431-nucleotide ribosomal RNA is filed under the name uncultured bacterium. RNAcentral's name for it is "bacterial SSU rRNA". It matches the Rfam family "Bacterial small subunit ribosomal RNA", at positions 355 to 776 of the family's 1533-position model. The record is from RNAcentral.